GAUGAACGCUGGCGGCGUGCCUAAUACAUGCCAGUCGAGCGAACAGACGAGGAGCUUGCUCCUCUGACGUUAGCGGCGGACGGGUGAGUAACACGUCGAUAACCUACCUAUAAGACUGGGAUAACUUCGGGAAACCGGAGCUAAUACCGGAUAAUAUAUUGAACCGCAUGGUUCAAUAGUGAAAGACGGUUUUGCUGUCACUUAUAGAUGGAUCCGCGCCGCAUUAGCUAGUUGGUAAGGUAACGGCUUACCAAGGCAACGAUGCGUAGCCGACCUGAGAGGGUGAUCGGCCACACUGGAACUGAGACACGGUCCAGACUCCUACGGGAGGCAGCAGUAGGGAAUCUUCCGCAAUGGGCGAAAGCCUGACGGAGCAACGCCGCGUGAGUGAUGAAGGUCUUCGGAUCGUAAAACUCUGUUAUUAGGGAAGAACAAAUGUGUAAGUAACUAUGCACGUCUUGACGGUACCUAAUCAGAAAGCCACGGCUAACUACGUG
RNAcentral lists this ribosomal RNA (497 nucleotides) under uncultured bacterium. Its description in RNAcentral is "partial 16S ribosomal RNA". It matches the Rfam family "Bacterial small subunit ribosomal RNA", at positions 28 to 507 of the family's 1533-position model. The record is from RNAcentral.